RNAcentral lists this transfer RNA (76 nucleotides) under Planctomycetota bacterium. RNAcentral describes it as "tRNA-Lys". It matches the Rfam family "tRNA". Rfam says of the family: Transfer RNA (tRNA) molecules are approximately 80 nucleotides in length. Their secondary structure includes four short double-helical elements and three loops (D, anti-codon, and T loops). The record is from RNAcentral. Lineage: Bacteria; Pseudomonadati; Planctomycetota.
GCACCCGUAGCUCAGUCGGUAGAGCAGCUGACUCUUAAUCAGCGGGCCGCAGGUUCGAGUCCUGCCGGGUGUACCA